This 503-nucleotide ribosomal RNA is filed under the name uncultured bacterium. Its description in RNAcentral is "bacterial SSU rRNA". It matches the Rfam family "Bacterial small subunit ribosomal RNA", at positions 10 to 507 of the family's 1533-position model. The record is from RNAcentral.
AGUUUGAUCCUGGCUCAGAUUGAACGCUGGCGGCAUGCUUUACACAUGCAAGUCGAGCGGCAGCGCGGGGGCAACCCUGGCGGCGAGCGGCGAACGGGUGAGUAAUGCAUCGGAACGUACCCUGGAGUGGGGGAUAACGCCGCGAAAGCGGCGCUAAUACCGCAUAUGCUCUGAGGAGGAAAGUGGGGGACCGCAAGGCCUCACGCUCUGGGAGCGGCCGAUGUCCGAUUAGCUAGUUGGUGGGGUAAAGGCUUACCAAGGCGACGAUCGGUAGCUGGUCUGAGAGAAUGAUCAGCCACACUGGGACUGAGACACGGCCCAGACUCCUACGGGAGGCAGCAGUGGGGAAUUUUGGACAAUGGGGGCAACCCUGAUCCAGCCAUGCCGCGUGAGUGAAGAAGGCCUUCGGGUUGUAAAGCUCCUUUUGGUCCGGGAAGAAGCGCCUUGCCUAAUACGCGAGGUGGUUGACGGUACCGGCAGAAUAAGCACCGGCUAACUACGUG